Molecule: ribosomal RNA, 250 nt
Filed under: uncultured prokaryote
Description: partial 16S ribosomal RNA
Rfam family: Bacterial small subunit ribosomal RNA
Source: RNAcentral
UACGUAGGUGGCAAGCGUUGUCUGGACUUACUGGGUGUAAAGGGCGUGCAGCCGGGAGUGCAAGUCAGAUGUGAAAUCCAUGGGCUCAGCCCAUGAACUGCAUUUGAAACUAUACUUCUUGAGUACCGGAGGGGCAAUCGGAAUUCCUAGUGUAGCGGUGAAAUGCGUAGAUAUUAGGAGGAACACCAGUGGCGAAGGCGGAUUGCUGGACGGCAACUGACGGUGAGGCGCGAAAGUGUGGGGAGCAAAC